This 471-nucleotide ribosomal RNA is filed under the name uncultured soil bacterium. RNAcentral describes it as "bacterial SSU rRNA". It matches the Rfam family "Bacterial small subunit ribosomal RNA", at positions 26 to 504 of the family's 1533-position model. The record is from RNAcentral.
AGAUUGAACGCUGGCGGAAUGCCUUACACAUGCAAGUCGAACGGCAGCACGGGAGCAAUCCUGGUGGCGAGUGGCGAACGGGUGAGUAAUACAUCGGAACGUGCCCAAUCGUGGGGGAUAACGUAGCGAAAGCUACGCUAAUACCGCAUACGAUCUACGGAUGAAAGCGGGGGAUCGCAAGACCUCGCGCGAAUGGAGCGGCCGAUGGCAGAUUAGGUAGUUGGUGGGGUAAAGCGUCACCAAGCCUUCGAUCUGUAGCUGGUCUGAGAGGACGACCAGCCACACUGGGACUGAGACACGGCCCAGACUCCUACGGGAGCAGCAGUGGGAAUUUUGGACAAUGGACGCAAGUCUGAUCCAGCCAUUCCGCGUGCAGGAUGAAGGUCCUUCGGUUAGUAAACUGUACCGUUUUGGAACGGAACGUAAAAGCCCUAUUUACCGUAAGUACGGGUGUACGUAUGGACGUACCGU